Molecule: long non-coding RNA, 374 nt
Filed under: Felis catus (domestic cat)
Lineage: Eukaryota; Metazoa; Chordata; Mammalia; Carnivora; Felidae
Description: lncRNA (ENSFCAG00000046789.2)
Source: RNAcentral
CACAGACUCUUGGGGGGGAUAUUUCAGAUUAGGUCAUGCCUGGGUAGAUCUGGGAGGAGAGAGCAGGGGUGAAAAAAAGGGCCACUUCAGGUACACUAGUUCAGACUAGAGGGAUGUGGGUGGAUGAGGCCCUAACAUGGAGACUGCAUAGCUGUAGUAGGAAGAGGGACCCAUCUCAGGUGGCUCCACAGGCAGUGCUGUUCCCACCCUCUCUUUGUCAGAUGCCAGCUGUCAUCACAAUGGAAAGGCAGCAGCCUGAACUGUCAUGGCCCAGAGGAAAUUCACAAGCAAUGCAGGUACCCUCCAACAAAGCUAACAACUUUUUGGUCACAAGCAAUGAGGAAUCCAAAGGAUCCAGGGUACUGGCCGUAUAA